CGAGGCGUGGUGGGCGGUAAUAU
This 23-nucleotide microRNA is filed under the name Tribolium castaneum (red flour beetle). RNAcentral's name for it is "tca-miR-3826-5p". The record is from miRBase by way of RNAcentral. Lineage: Eukaryota; Metazoa; Arthropoda; Insecta; Coleoptera; Tenebrionidae.